RNAcentral lists this ribosomal RNA (824 nucleotides) under Klebsormidium sp. 837I. RNAcentral's name for it is "eukaryotic LSU rRNA". The stretch from base 528 to 824 matches the Rfam family "Eukaryotic large subunit ribosomal RNA", at positions 1 to 296 of the family's 3401-position model. Lineage: Eukaryota; Viridiplantae; Streptophyta; Klebsormidiophyceae; Klebsormidiales; Klebsormidiaceae. The record is from RNAcentral.
GGAGAGUGCGGGGGCGGCGUUUCCCACUCCAGCUGUCCCUUCCGGGGCAGCUGCGCAACCAACCAAACACUAUGCAAAAACAGACUGAAGACCGAUCCUUUGCGGGCGCCUUCGGGAGCCCUGCCUCGGAUCAAAAACAAACUAAAGACAACUCUCAACAACGGAUAUCUUGGCUCUCGCAACGAUGAAGAACGCAGCGAAAUGCGAUACGUAGUGUGAAUUGCAGAAUUCCGUGAAUCAUCGAAUCUUUGAACGCAUAUUGCGCCCGCGGCCUCGGCCAAGGGCAUGCCUGCCUGAGCGUCAUUAUAACACCUCACAACCCUUUUAGGGUAGUGGAUCUGGCCGUCCGGACUCUCGAGCCUGGUCGGCUAAAAGGCAGAUGCAAAGCCAGCAGCCCAUUCAACGGCAAGGCGUGGUAGACCGCAUCGCGGGCGAUCGUCGUGCCGGGGCUGCCUUUCGGCCUUCGCAUUAGCAGGAACCGCCGCUUCCGACGGACUUCGGUCCGAAAGGAGCCGGCCUUGACCCAUUGACCUCAGAUCAGACAAGAUUACCCGCCGAAUUUAAGCAUAUUACUAAGCGGAGGAAAAGAAACUAACAAGGAUUCCCCUAGUAACGGCGAGNGAANNGGGAAGAGCCCAACUUGAAAAUCUGGCAGCUUCGCUGUCCGAAUUGUAGUCUAAAGAAGCGUCCUCUGUAGCGGACCGGGCCCAAGUUCCCUGGAAUGGGACGUCAGAGAGGGUGAGAGCCCCGUCGACCCCGGACCCUGCUACUCCACGAGGCGCUGUCGCCGAGUCGGGUUGUUUGGGAAUGCAGCCCUAAAUGGG